ACCAAGGUAUCAAUAAUGUUAGCAGAAAGCAGUGGUGUCAAAAAUUGAAUAUAGCAGUCGAAGUCACAACUGGGAAAACUGGUAUUGGUAACAUAGAGCGGUUUCAUAAAACGAUGAAUGAAAAACUGCGAAUUAUUUGUAGCUCUGGGGCGAAAGUCCGUAUAACAUGUUAUACAGGGGUGAAUCUGAUAGUUGUCGGAACCAGAAUUGAAACCGAUCACAAAAAGCAGGAGGUGUCAUGAAUUGAGAUAUUAUUGGUUUGAUAUUCGAAACAGAAUUUGUAUCGGUUUUGGGUGUCACGGAAUUCAAUUUUAUCGGUUUUGCUGUCAGAAACAAAUCAAGAAGAUAGUCGCACACAUAUUUGAAUUGGGAAAACAUUAGAACAAAACACGAAAUGUCUUAACUAUUGAGUUUUGGAAAAAAUGCGGAUAUUUAAGAGGGGAGCAGUUUUUAGAGGCUUAAAAAAGUCUUUUUUUUAGCUUUUUUUGGGAGGGAAAGAAAUAAAUGAUUAA
Bactrocera neohumeralis is the source of this 512-nucleotide long non-coding RNA. RefSeq lists it as uncharacterized. The transcript is spliced from 3 exons. Lineage: Eukaryota; Metazoa; Arthropoda; Insecta; Diptera; Tephritidae. The record is from RefSeq and is a predicted model, not a curated record.